RNAcentral lists this ribosomal RNA (253 nucleotides) under uncultured bacterium. RNAcentral describes it as "partial 16S ribosomal RNA". It matches the Rfam family "Bacterial small subunit ribosomal RNA", at positions 524 to 776 of the family's 1533-position model. The record is from RNAcentral.
UACGUAGGGUGCAAGCGUUGUCCGGAAUUAUUGGGCGUAAAGAGCUCGUAGGCGGUUUGUCGCGUCUGCUGUGAAAACUCGGGGCUUAACCCCGGGCCUGCAGUGGGUACGGGCAGACUAGAGUGCGGUAGGGGAGACUGGAAUUCCUGGUGUAGCGGUGAAAUGCGUAGAUAUCAGGAGGAACACCGGUGGCGAAGGCGGCUUUCUGGACAGAAACUGACGCUGAUGCGCGAAAGCUAGGGGAGCAAACAGG